CACAUCAGUUCAAACAGACAACUGCUUUCCUGUAGGGACAGUGUAGGGAAAGCAUCUGUCUUGGCAGGCGAGUCUCACGUGUGGAGAUGUGGUGGACUAGCCGCUGCGGGUUACCCACGGAGUGAAGCGUUCGAUGCUUGCUAAGAUAGAUGAGCUAUAGGUAGUUAGAGACAUAUUAUUAGUUAGGGACAUAUUAGGGACAGUAGCAGUAGUUAUG
Non-coding RNA from Pelobates cultripes (western spadefoot toad), 217 nucleotides. The record is from the annotation of a GenBank genome assembly. NCBI's taxonomy places the organism in Eukaryota, Metazoa, Chordata, Amphibia, Anura, Pelobatidae.